UUCCAAAACGCGAAACAUUACCUUAUUUUGAAAUUUUUAUUUUUGAAUAAUAGCGAAUACGAUAUUUAAACGAUGUACAUUAUUUGUUUGGCUUAAGAUAAAAUGAUUUAUUGGAUGAAUGUAAAGAGGCUUGAUUCAUGGGGCGAUGAUAUGAAAUAAAAGUAUAGUGCGACAUGGAACAAUGAUACAUGCAUAAAAUAUUCCACAAGCAAAUGGCAAUAAUAUGAACACGAGUAAGCAAAUUAAAGUACAUGCAAUAGAAAUAAUCUCACAAUAUGCACUCUUUAAAAAAAUUAAUCAUUAAUAAUCAAGAACAAAUGAAUUAAAUGAUACAAUUUAAAAAUAUAUAUAAUAAAUAAAUAAAUAGUUAAAAGCAAAUUAAAAUAACAAUUGCAAGAUGAAUUUUAAAUGACCAUGAAUGAAUUUAAAAUAAAUAAUGUAAAAAAAGAAAGUUAAAAUCG
RNAcentral lists this long non-coding RNA (461 nucleotides) under Gossypium barbadense (sea-island cotton). Its description in RNAcentral is "long non-coding RNA (GBAR_LNC000125)". Lineage: Eukaryota; Viridiplantae; Streptophyta; Magnoliopsida; Malvales; Malvaceae. The record is from RNAcentral.